Molecule: long non-coding RNA, 249 nt
Filed under: Gossypium barbadense (sea-island cotton)
Lineage: Eukaryota; Viridiplantae; Streptophyta; Magnoliopsida; Malvales; Malvaceae
Description: long non-coding RNA (GBAR_LNC008161)
Source: RNAcentral
UUUCCACGUAUGCCAAACACACAUCACACGUGCAAAUCGAGUUCAUUUAAUUAUUGUUGAUGUAGUUUUUGCUUUUGUUGUCUAUUUUUGUAUGAAUCCCAUUAAUAAACCAUAGACAUAUGUAAAUAUGGAUUUAUAGAGAUGAAAAGGAAGGGUAUCGGCCAAUACCAACAGUGGAAAAAGCAAAAGGUGCCCAUGCAAGUUGGUCGCUCGUCGCGCAAUAUAUGGAUAUGGAUUGGCAAUGGCCAU